UACGGAGGGUGCAAGCGUUAUCCGGAUUCACUGGGUUUAAAGGGUGCGUAGGAGGGCAGGUAAGUCAGUGGUGAAAUCCCCGAGCUUAACUUGGGAACUGCCGUUGAUACUAUCUGUCUUGAAUAUUGUGGAGGUAAGCGGAAUAUGUCAUGUAGCAGUGAAAUGCUUAGAUAUGACAUAGAACACCAAUUGCGAAGGCAGCUUGCUACACAACUAUUGACUCUGAUGCACGAAAGCGUGGGGAUCAAACAGG
This 253-nucleotide ribosomal RNA is filed under the name uncultured bacterium. RNAcentral's name for it is "partial 16S ribosomal RNA". It matches the Rfam family "Bacterial small subunit ribosomal RNA", at positions 524 to 776 of the family's 1533-position model. The record is from RNAcentral.